Molecule: long non-coding RNA, 2287 nt
Organism: Pan troglodytes (chimpanzee)
Lineage: Eukaryota; Metazoa; Chordata; Mammalia; Primates; Hominidae
Exons: 5
Source: RefSeq, a predicted model, not a curated record
GUUCGCGCUCGGACCGGACUUUCAGGACUGCAGGGGAAAAGGGUGGACACCCAGCCUCCCGCCAGCAUCUGGAACGAGCUAAGACAGCUGCUAAGUAGCAUUCCAUUUGACAAGGAAGACUUACCAUUCACACUACUUCUGAGUUCAAUGAAAGAGAGGCUCGAUUUCUUUUCCUGCCUGCACUUUCUUUGAGGUUGCAGUAGAGAGUGUGUGUCUACAGAAGCAAUAGAAAACUUAUACAGUACUUUCUAUGGUCAGUUGUGAUCAUAAAAAGAGAGUAAGAAGAAAAACAACUCUGAAAGACAAGAUUUGGUUUCUGUCUUUCAUUGUACACAUAAAAUAAGACUUGACCAUCUGGAAAAAGGAAGCCUGAGAAUGAAUAUAUAAGAAGAGGACAUAAAAUGGUGGAAAGAGAAAGCAUGGUUUUAGCAGCCAAAUUCUGAAAUAAGGCUAAACCUACAUGGAGGCAUUUCUUCAGCUUGAAGGAAGGAAUUUAACCCAAAGACAUUGGAAAAUGACUUGACAGAGUCACACAGGAAAUUGUUGUAGGAAUUAGAACUAGAAAUCUGGUCUCCUGAUGAUCAUUUCUAGGAAUGGCUACUAAAAUAUCAAAGAAAAAGAUUUCAAUCAUCUUAAAGCAAACAGUCUCAUACUGGAGUGGUGAGGAUGGUAAAUUUUAAAGAAAACAGGCCCUCUUUGAUGUAACACUGGUUAACCCAUUAAGCCACAGUCUCUACUAUUACAGCUUUUGGAUGUGACCAAAUCUCUCCAAAUUGAAGUAACAAGCAAGGCCAAAGCAGCCACUCUCUUUUUGGGUGGAUUUGUCUCCCCUACACACCAUUCUUUCCCAUAUACUAGAUGUUUAGUAACUUUUGUCUCAGAUAGACUGAAGACACUAAAAGCUGCUAUUGUUCAUUAAAAAGCAAGGCCAAAGACAUGCUGGGCUAAUAUGGUACACUAAAGUUGGUAAUUUGAUUUGUUUGGACUGAUUGCCUACAACUCUCUGAUUAAAUAUUAAAAUACAAAAAUUACAGGAUAUAAUUAUAUCUGGGGGAAAUAAUGUAAUGCCUGCAAAACCCAAGCCAUAUCCUAUUACUCUUCCCUAUGAAGGGCCUGGAUGUCAUUCAAUUUUUCCAAAGUAAAGCAAGGUGCAAGGUCAAAAUAGACCCACAAUGUAAUCUGUCCUCUCUCAGAAUGUAAUAACGUUACUUUCUUACUGGCUUUGUUAGUUACAGGCUAACGUCAACCACAGUCUUAACAACCUGACAGAACAGGUUCAGAGACCUGGGAGCCUGAAGGGAAAAUGAAAAUAACAAAAACAAAAAACAAGAAAGGUGCUGGCUGAACAAUGGCUAAAAUGAAAAUAGCACACAAAGUUAAAAAUUGAAAAACCUAAGAGAGAGAGAGAUAGUAUAUGUGUACGUAUAUGUACGUAUAUGUAUAUUUACUUCCCUUAGGUUAGGAUAUAGAAGGUCCUCAAGCCUGCUUUUAUUUAACUUUGCUGAAAGUUUUUCAGUAGUUUUCCAUCUUUAUGUUCCGACCACAUAAGAAAAUGUCCAAAUAAACCAUCAGAAAGAUUUACAUGUUUUAUAACAAGGAGCCACUUAACUAAACAGACCCAGAAAUUCUCAAUGCCAUUUAGGUAGAUUUCAUCUAUUCACUUGCAUAAAACAUCUGGUGCUCACCAAUUGUGUAGAACCUCUUCAGUUCGCUCCUUCUGGAAGGAUGUUUCUGAGUAUUUGCUGCAUUGUUCUGCUCUUCUUCAAUGAUGGGGGUCUUGGGUGCCGGGGGCUUACUGGCUUGUGGUGUUUGCUUUCCUGCACCAGCCAAAGGGUUGAACCCUGGAGCAUUAAUAUCCACCGACUGGGACUUUUUCUUCAGCCUACAAGUAAAGAAGACCACAUGCUGUGAAUCCUGAUUCUAGAGACACAUUUGUUCCAUGUUUAUAAUUUUUUUUUCAACAAUUGAGUUACAUUUAACCUUGAGAUAGAACCACAUCUAUUCAGAAAUGAUAGACAUUCCCUACAGUAUUUUAAGAAAAAUUCUACAAAUAUUUUUGAAACUAGAAGGAAAAAUAUCUUCUGCCUAAUCAUUUUGAAAGAUUGCAUUAAAAUAUAAGGUGAUAAAGAGCUUUUAUUUUUUCAAUAACCAAUUAAAAUAUAGUGUCAAAGAUAAUGUAUUUGACUAUAGUAUUUAGUUCUGAAAGGAAUUUUUUAAUACAGUGAAACAUUAGUUAAAAAUAAAUGUUAACUCCAAAAAGAAUAAUAAAAUCAUUAUUUUUUAACCA